AUGGGGAUUAGAAAGAUGGGGAGUAGAGUGGCUAGCCACUCAGUUCAUCAAGAUGCACAAGUACAAAAUCAAAAUAAUCUCCUUCAAGCCCAACAGCUCCAGAGGCAUUUCACUCCUCAAAUGACUAUCCAUAACCAGAAUCUGACAGCACAGCAGCAGCACCAGCUGCUGCAGCAACAACAGUGGAUGAGGCGGAACCAAAUGAUGGGCCCCCGCGGCGCUCUUAUGAUGUUGGACAAAACCCAGACCCUGGUAAACGUGAAGCUCGAGAAUACCAUGGAUUCACAAAUCGAUAGCCCGUACGGAUCUCUCACCAGACAACAACAACAGAUGCAGCAGCAGCUACUGCAGCAGCAGCAACAGAAGCAGCUCCAGCAACAGCAGGUAUUGCAGCUUCAACACCACCACCAGCAACAGCUGCAGCAGCAGCCGCUCCAGCAGCAACAACAACUCCAGCAGCACCACCACCACCAACAGCAACAGCUCCAGCAGCACCACCACCACCAACAGCAACAGCUCCAGCAGCACCACCACCAGCAGCAACAGCAGCUUCAGCAGCAUCUGGGCAUGUCCGGAAACCAGAGCGCCGAAGCCCAGCUAGCGCAGCAGCAGCUGGGCAUGAUGGAAACCAGAGCGCACAAGCCCAUCUAG
Molecule: ribosomal RNA, 651 nt
Filed under: Triticum aestivum (bread wheat)
Lineage: Eukaryota; Viridiplantae; Streptophyta; Magnoliopsida; Poales; Poaceae
Description: partial small subunit ribosomal RNA
Source: RNAcentral